This 75-nucleotide transfer RNA is filed under the name Rhodospirillales bacterium. RNAcentral describes it as "tRNA-Gly(gcc)". It matches the Rfam family "tRNA". Rfam says of the family: Transfer RNA (tRNA) molecules are approximately 80 nucleotides in length. The record is from RNAcentral. Lineage: Bacteria; Pseudomonadati; Pseudomonadota; Alphaproteobacteria; Rhodospirillales.
GCGGGUGUAGCUCAGCGGUAGAGCACUUCGUUGCCAACGAAGAUGUCGUGAGUUCGAUCCUCAUCACCCGCUCCA